CUAAUUCGUGAGCAAAAGUCUUCCAUUUAAAUCUGUAAUCUGGUAAAAACUCUUCUUCAUGGUUCUAAAAUUGAUAAUUAUAGGAGGCGGGAAGAAGGAGCGUCUUACUAUUGGUCUUCAAGAAAGGAAAUCAGAAGGAAAGGAAGUUAACAAAGAUGGUAGCUAGCUAGGCUAGUGGUUAGUAAUCUCUGAAGUAAGGCUAGCUGGGCUAGUGGUUAGUAAUCUCUGAAGUAAGGCUAGCUAGGCUAGCGGUUAGUAAUCUCUGAAGUAAGGCUAGCUGGGCUAGCGGUUAGUAAUCUCUGAAGUAAGGCUAGCUGGGCUAGCGGUUAGUAAUCUCUGAAGUAAGGCUAGCUGGGCUAGCGGUUAAUAAUCUCUGAAGUAAGGCUAGCUAGGCUAGCGGUUAGUAAUCUCUGAAGUAAGGCUAGCUAGGCUAGCAAUUAGUAAUCUCUGAAGUAAGGCUAGCUAGACUAGCGGUUAGUAAUCUCUGAAGUAAAUUAAGGCUAGGCAAAUAACGUUAGUAAUCUCUGAAGUAAAGUAAAGUUAG
This 544-nucleotide long non-coding RNA is filed under the name Salmo salar (Atlantic salmon). RNAcentral's name for it is "lncRNA (ENSSSAG00000113704.1)". The record is from RNAcentral. Lineage: Eukaryota; Metazoa; Chordata; Actinopteri; Salmoniformes; Salmonidae.